RNAcentral lists this ribosomal RNA (255 nucleotides) under uncultured bacterium. Its description in RNAcentral is "partial 16S ribosomal RNA". It matches the Rfam family "Bacterial small subunit ribosomal RNA", at positions 524 to 776 of the family's 1533-position model. The record is from RNAcentral.
UACGUAGGGUGCGAGCGUUUAAUCGGAAUUACUGGGCGUAAAGCGCGUGUAGGCGGCUUUGCAAGUCGGGUGUGAAAGCCCUCAGCUCAACUGAGGAAGUGCGCCCGAAACUGCAGAGCUUGAGUACCGGAGAGGGUGGCGGAAUUCCCCAAGUAGAGGUGAAAUUCGUAGAUAUGGGGGAGGAACACCGGUGGCGAAGGCGGCCACCUGGACGGUCACUGACGCUGAGACGCGAAAGCGUGGGGAGCAAACAGG